AUGUGUGUUACAGAGGAGAAAGGAUGGAUGGGUUUCAGUGAUAUUCAUAGUUUUAACUUAGCACUGUUAGCUAAGCAGUGUUGGAGAUUCAUUGACAACUCUGACUCCUUAUGUGCUAGAGUUUUGCGAGCCAGAUACUACGCAGAUGGAGAUAUCCUGAAUUGUGAGUUGAAGAAGGUAUCAUCUUUUGUAUGGCAAGGUAUAUGGGCGGGAAUUUAA
Molecule: ribosomal RNA, 219 nt
Filed under: Triticum aestivum (bread wheat)
Lineage: Eukaryota; Viridiplantae; Streptophyta; Magnoliopsida; Poales; Poaceae
Description: partial small subunit ribosomal RNA
Source: RNAcentral